UACGUAGGGGGCUAGCGUUGUCCGGAAUCAUUGGGCGUAAAGAGCGUGUAGGCGGUCCGGUAAGUCCGCUGUGAAAGUCGGGGGCUCAACCCUCGAAUGCCGGUGGAUACUGUCGGGCUAGAGUGCGGAAGAGGCGAGUGGAAUUCCUGGUAUAGCGGUGAAAUGCGCAGAUAUCAGGAGGAACACCAAUGGCGAAGGCAGCACUCUGGGACGUGACUGACGCUGAGACGCGAAAGCGCGGGGAGCGAACAGG
RNAcentral lists this ribosomal RNA (253 nucleotides) under uncultured bacterium. RNAcentral describes it as "partial 16S ribosomal RNA". It matches the Rfam family "Bacterial small subunit ribosomal RNA", at positions 524 to 776 of the family's 1533-position model. The record is from RNAcentral.